Long non-coding RNA from Melanaphis sacchari, 449 nucleotides. RefSeq lists it as uncharacterized. NCBI's taxonomy places the organism in Eukaryota, Metazoa, Arthropoda, Insecta, Hemiptera, Aphididae. The record is from RefSeq and is a predicted model, not a curated record. The transcript is spliced from 3 exons.
ACCCACUGUGCAAUCUAAGUUACAAAAUGUUGCUGCAAUGUUAAGUUUCGAUCACAAUGAAAUGUUACCAAGUAACAAUAAUGCGAUGUCCUAUAAUUGUUCCAUAAUAAUAAUACCAAAUAUAUCAUCAAGUAACAUUACUGAAAUGUUAAAAAUACACAUUUAUGCAAUGUUACAAAUUAAUAUUCAUUCAAUGUUUAAUUAUUAUUGCAUUGAAAUAAUCUUGUUUACGCGCUAUAUCCCAUUGUUAUAAACACUAUCACUGGAUUUUCCAAUUCGGAUUUCGGGGAAGCCGAACCCGCAAAACGACCGGCGCGCUAAAUAAUAGCUAGCAAUGUGAAUCUUUAUUUUAUUUGUUAGUCUUUGCGUCAAGUGCCGAAGAGUGUGUUCAGAAUAAUUACAAUAUAUACAAGUCAUAAUAAUCCAUUCGUCUCUACAGAAAGAAAUGA